Molecule: ribosomal RNA, 473 nt
Filed under: uncultured bacterium
Lineage: Bacteria
Description: SSU rRNA
Rfam family: Bacterial small subunit ribosomal RNA
Source: RNAcentral
AGGACGAACGCUGGCGGCGUGCUUAACACAUGCAAGUCGAGCGGAAAGGCCCUUCGGGGUACUCGAGCGGCGAACGGGUGAGUAACACGUGAGCAACCUGCCCUUAGCUUCGGGAUAGCUCCGGGAAACCGGAAUUAAUACCGAAUAUGACUUUGGCUGACAUCAGCAGAAGUGGAAAGUUUUUCGGCUAGGGAUGGACUCGCGGCCUAUCAGCUAGUUGGUGAGGUAACGGCCCACCAAGGCGACGACGGGUAGCCGGCCUGAGAGGGCGACCGGCCACACUGGGACUGAGACACGGCCCAGACUCCUACGGGAGGCAGCAGUGGGGAAUAUUGCGCAAUGGGCGAAAGCCUGACGCAGCGACGCCGCGUGGGGGAUGAAUGCCUUCGGGUUGUAAACCCCUUUCAGCAGGGACGAAGCGAAAGUGACGGUACCUGCAGAAGAAGCGCGGCUAACUACGCGCCAGCAGCCGC